AGUGAACGCUGGCGGCAGGCCUAAUACAUGCAAGUCGAACGGCAGCACAGCAGAGCUUGCUCUGUGGGUGGCGAGUGGCGGACGGGUGAGGAAUACGUGGGAAUCUGCCCAGUCGUGGGGGAUAACGUAGGGAAACUUACGCUAAUACCGCAUGCGCCUUCGGGGAAAGCCGGGGACCUUCGGGCCUGGCGCGAUUGGAUGAGCCCACGUCGGAUUAGCUAGUUGGCGGGGUAAAGGCCCACCAAGGCGACGAUCCGUAGCUGGUCUGAGAGGAUGAUCAGCCACACUGGAACUGAGACAUGGUCCAGACUCCUACGGGAGGCAGCAGUAGGGAAUAUUGGACAAUGGGCGCAAGCCUGAUCCAGCCAUGCCGCGUGAGUGAAGAAGG
This 388-nucleotide ribosomal RNA is filed under the name uncultured bacterium. Its description in RNAcentral is "bacterial SSU rRNA". It matches the Rfam family "Bacterial small subunit ribosomal RNA", at positions 30 to 414 of the family's 1533-position model. The record is from RNAcentral.